GAUGAACGCUGGCGGCGUGCCUAAUACAUGCAAGUCGAGCGAAUGGAAGGGAGCUUGCUCCCUGAAGUUAGCGGCGGACGGGUGAGUAACACGUGGGCAACCUACCUACAAGAUUGGGAUAACUUCGGGAAACCGGAGCUAAUACCGGGUAAUACAUUGGAUCGCAUGGUUCGAUGUUGAAAGAUGGCUUCGGCUAUCACUUGUAGAUGGGCCCGCGGCGCAUUAGCUAGUUGGUGAGGUAACGGCUCACCAAGGCAACGAUGCGUAGCCGACCUGAGAGGGUAAUCGGCCACACUGGGACUGAGACACGGCCCAGACUCCUACGGGAGGCAGCAGUAGGGAAUCUUCCGCAAUGGACGAAAGUCUGACGGAGCAACGCCGCGUGAGCGAUGAAGGCCUUCGGGUCGUAAAGCUUUGUUGUCAGGGAAGGACAAGUACCGGAGUAACUGCCGGUACCUUGACGGUACCUGACCAGAAAGCCACGGCUAACUACGUGCCAGCAGCCGCCGUAA
This 512-nucleotide ribosomal RNA is filed under the name uncultured bacterium. RNAcentral's name for it is "partial 16S ribosomal RNA". It matches the Rfam family "Bacterial small subunit ribosomal RNA", at positions 28 to 523 of the family's 1533-position model. The record is from RNAcentral.